CGUUUUUUUUGGCUCUUUUUUUUUAUUUUAACCAAAGGCCGCAGCGCGUCCACACAAAGAGCCGUUAGCAUUAGCCGCCGGUUAGCUGUUAGCUGUCGCGGGGCCUUCAGAGCUGCAUCAUCUCGAGUCUUAAAAUCAAAUUAACGUAAUUGACGGACACACGAUUUAACGUCUUAUUCGCAACAACUGCACCGUUUAUCUGAGCGGAGCUAACACAGGCUAGCUAAGAAGCCACCGGACUCACUGAGACAUGGAGACACCACAACGG
Molecule: long non-coding RNA, 268 nt
Organism: Mugil cephalus (flathead mullet)
Lineage: Eukaryota; Metazoa; Chordata; Actinopteri; Mugiliformes; Mugilidae
Exons: 2
Source: RefSeq, a predicted model, not a curated record